Molecule: ribosomal RNA, 779 nt
Filed under: Inocybe salicis-herbaceae
Lineage: Eukaryota; Fungi; Basidiomycota; Agaricomycetes; Agaricales; Inocybaceae
Description: eukaryotic LSU rRNA
Rfam family: 5.8S ribosomal RNA (bases 230-383)
Source: RNAcentral
GAGGAAGUAAAAGUCGUAACAAGGUUUCCGUAGGUGAACCUGCGGAAGGAUCAUUAUCGAAUAAAACUUGAACAGGCUGUUGCUGGCUCCCUCGGAUGCAUGUGCACGCUUGUCAUUUUUAUCUCAUUUCUCCUCUGUGCACCAACUGUAGGCUUGAAAUCCUUUCAGGUCUAUGUUUUUACAAUCUCUCAAUGUGUUUGGAAUGUCGAGUUGCAUAAUAUAUACAUACAACUUUCAGCAACGGAUCUCUUGGCUCUCGCAUCGAUGAAGAACGCAGCGAAAUGCGAUAAGUAAUGUGAAUUGCAGAAUUCAGUGAAUCAUCGAAUCUUUGAACGCAUCUUGCGCUCCUUGGUAUUCUGAGGAGCAUGCCUGUUUGAGUGUCAUCAAGUCCUCAACCAUAUUGAUUUUGCUUCGAUGUGGAUUGGAUAUGGGAGCCCAUGCAGGCCUUUCGAUUGAGAGGUCUGCUCUCCUGAAAUGAAUUAGUGGUGUCUGAGCAGUGACUUUUACUACAUGGGUGUGAUAAUCAUUUAUGCCUUUGUGAAACGCUGCGCAAACUGCUUCUAACCUCGUCGUUGACCAAUUUGACCUCAAAUCAGGUAGGACUACCCGCUGAACUUAAGCAUAUCAAUAAGCGGAGGAAAAGAAACUAACAAGGAUUCCCCUAGUAACUGCGAGUGAAGCGGGAAAAGCUCAAAUUUGAAAUCUGAUGGUUUUUGACCGUCCGAGUUGUAAUCUAGAGAAGUGUUUACCCGUGCUGGACCGUGUACAAGUCUCCUGGA